UCUGGGCAUGGUGGCUCAUGCCUGUAAUCCCAGCACUUUGGGAGGUCAAGGCAGGAGGAUUGCUUGAGCCCAGGAGUUCAAGAUCAGUCUGGGUAACAUAGUGAGACCCUGUCUCUACACAAAGUUAAAAACUUAGCUGGGUAUGGUGGCGCAUGCCCAUAGUCCCAGCUACUCAGGAGGCUAAGGCAGGAGGAUUGUUUGAGCCCAGGGGGUCGAGGCUGCAGUGGGCCAUGACUGCACUACUGCACUCUAGCCUGGGUGACAGAGUAAGACCCUGUCUCA
Molecule: small RNA, 282 nt
Filed under: Nomascus leucogenys (northern white-cheeked gibbon)
Lineage: Eukaryota; Metazoa; Chordata; Mammalia; Primates; Hylobatidae
Description: Metazoan signal recognition particle RNA (ENSNLEG00000027175.1)
Rfam family: Metazoan signal recognition particle RNA (bases 136-282)
About the family: The signal recognition particle (SRP) is a universally conserved ribonucleoprotein. It is involved in the co-translational targeting of proteins to membranes.
Source: RNAcentral